RNAcentral lists this ribosomal RNA (253 nucleotides) under uncultured bacterium. RNAcentral describes it as "partial 16S ribosomal RNA". It matches the Rfam family "Bacterial small subunit ribosomal RNA", at positions 524 to 776 of the family's 1533-position model. The record is from RNAcentral.
GACGUAGGGCGCGAGCGUUGUCCGGAUUUAUUGGGCGUAAAGAGCUCGUAGGCGGCUCAUUGCGUCAACCGUGAAAACCUGCCGCUCAACAGUAGGCUUGCGGUUGAUACGGGUGGGCUGGAGUUCGGUAGGGGAGACUGGAAUUCCUGGUGUAGCGGUGAAAUGCGCAGAUAUCAGGAGGAACACCGGUGGCGAAGGCGGGUCUCUGGGCCGAUACUGACGCUGAGGAGCGAAAGCGUGGGGAGCGAACAGG